UACGUAGGUCCCGAGCGUUGUCCGGAUUUAUUGGGCGUAAAGCAAGCGCAGGUGGUUUAUUAAGUCUGGUGUAAAAGGCAGUGGCUCAACCAUUGUAUGCAUUGGAAACUGGUAGACUUGAGUGCAGGAGAGGAGAGUGGAAUUCCAUGUGUAGCGGUGAAAUGCGUAGAUAUAUGGAGGAACACCGGAGGCGAAAGCGGCUCUCUGGCCUGUAACUGACACUGAGGCUCGAAAGCGUGGGGAGCAAACAGG
Molecule: ribosomal RNA, 252 nt
Filed under: uncultured bacterium
Lineage: Bacteria
Description: partial 16S ribosomal RNA
Rfam family: Bacterial small subunit ribosomal RNA
Source: RNAcentral